CGGCGACAGCCCGCGCGCCACCUCCUCCCGCAGCGCCGCGAAGAAGCCGCCGCCGCCGCCACCACCACCACCACUCCGCCGCUCCAUGGACAGACAGACAGACACAGACAGCUUCCCAGGGACCUGUCUGUAAUUACAGAAAACCUCGUGCGGCUCAACACGCGUUUUUCUCGCCUCUCUGGCGUGUGGAGCGAGGGGCGGUUUGCGAAUUUAUGCGGGAGCUGGGGGGGUAAAAGGCAAAAAGGGCAAGGGUGUGGGGUAAGGCAAGGCAAGGCGAGCUGGACGCAACGCAGGAAUGGGAUGCAGCGGUGUGUGUU
This 317-nucleotide long non-coding RNA is filed under the name Oryza brachyantha (malo sina). RNAcentral describes it as "long non-coding RNA (OBRA_LNC000857)". The record is from RNAcentral. Lineage: Eukaryota; Viridiplantae; Streptophyta; Magnoliopsida; Poales; Poaceae.